Molecule: ribosomal RNA, 446 nt
Filed under: uncultured bacterium
Lineage: Bacteria
Description: bacterial SSU rRNA
Rfam family: Bacterial small subunit ribosomal RNA
Source: RNAcentral
AACGAACGCUGGCGGCAGGCCUAACACAUGCAAGUCGAACGCCGUAGCAAUACGGAGUGGCAGACGGGUGAGUAACACGUGGGAACAUACCCUUCGGUUCGGAAUAACUCAGGGAAACUUGAGCUAAUACCGGAUACGUCCGCGAGGAGAAAGAUUCAUCGCCGGAGGAUUGGCCCGCGUCUGAUUAGCUUGUUGGUGAGGUAAUGGCUCACCAAGGCGACGAUCAGUAGCUGGUCUGAGAGGAUGAUCAGCCACAUUGGGACUGAGACACGGCCCAAACUCCUACGGGAGGCAGCAGUGGGGAAUAUUGGACAAUGGGCGCAAGCCUGAUCCAGCCAUGCCGCGUGAGUGAUGAAGGCCCUAGGGUUGUAAAGCUCUUUACCCGGGAAGAUAAUGACUGUACCGGGAGAAUAAGCCCCGGCUAACUUCGUGCCAGCCGCCGCAGU